AGACGGAGGGAGCAAGCGUUGCUCGGAAUCACUGGGCGUAAAGCGCGUGUAGGCGGCUUGGUAAGUCGGGUGUGAAAUCCCGGGGCCCAACCCCGGAACUGCAUUCGAAACUGCCUAGCUAGAGUCUCGGAGAGGAAGGCGGAAUUCCCGGUGUAGAGGUGAAAUUCGUAGAUAUCGGGAGGAACACCAGCGGCGAAGGCGGCCUUCUGGACGAUGACUGACGCUGAGACGCGAAAGCGUGGGGAGCAAACAGGAUUAGAUACCCCAGUAGUCC
This 274-nucleotide ribosomal RNA is filed under the name uncultured bacterium. RNAcentral's name for it is "partial 16S ribosomal RNA". It matches the Rfam family "Bacterial small subunit ribosomal RNA", at positions 523 to 796 of the family's 1533-position model. The record is from RNAcentral.